GUCUACUAUUAGACUACCCGUGUACGUCCCAGCCGUAAACUAUGCGCGUUAGGUGUAUCGGUGACCACGAGUUACCGAGGUGCCGAAGGGAAACCGUGAAACGUGCCGCCUGGGAAGUACGGUCGCAAGGCUGAAACUUAAAGGAAUUGGCGGGGAGCACCACAACGGGUGGAGCCUGCGGUUUAAUUGGACUCAACGCCGGGAAGCUCACCGGAUAAGACAGCGGAAUGAUUGCCGGGCUGAAGACUCUGCAUGACUAGCUG
RNAcentral lists this ribosomal RNA (263 nucleotides) under uncultured archaeon. Its description in RNAcentral is "partial 16S ribosomal RNA". It matches the Rfam family "Archaeal small subunit ribosomal RNA", at positions 715 to 982 of the family's 1478-position model. The record is from RNAcentral.